Molecule: ribosomal RNA, 286 nt
Filed under: uncultured bacterium
Lineage: Bacteria
Description: partial 16S ribosomal RNA
Rfam family: Bacterial small subunit ribosomal RNA
Source: RNAcentral
UGCAAGUCGAGGGGCAGCGCGGGGCGGCAACGUCCUGGCGGCGACCGGCGGAAGGGUGCGUAACGCGUGAGCGACAUGCCCGUUGCCCGGGGACAACCGGUGGAAACGCCGACUAAUACCCGAUGGGAUAUUGUGCCGCAUGGCACGAUAUUGAAAGUUACGGCGGCGACGGAUUGGCUCGCGUCCGAUUAGCUUGUUGGCGGGGUAACGGCCCACCAAGGCUGCGAUCGGUAGGGGUUCUGAGAGGAAGGCCCCCACAAUGGGACUGAGACACGGCCCAUACUCC